RNAcentral lists this ribosomal RNA (466 nucleotides) under uncultured bacterium. Its description in RNAcentral is "bacterial SSU rRNA". It matches the Rfam family "Bacterial small subunit ribosomal RNA", at positions 328 to 792 of the family's 1533-position model. The record is from RNAcentral.
UGUCCAGACUCCUACGGGAGGCAGCAGUGAGGAAUAUUGGUCAAUGGGCGGGAGCCUGAACCAGCCAAGCCGCGUGAAGGAAGAAGGCGCCAGGCGUCGUAAACUUCUUUUGUCGGGGAACAAAGGGCGCCACGCGUGGCGUUGUGAGUGUACCCGAAGAAAAAGCAUCGGCUAACUCCGUGCCAGCAGCCGCGGUAAUACGGAGGAUGCGAGCGUUAUCCGGAUUUAUUGGGUUUAAAGGGUGCGUAGGCGGAUUUUUAAGUCAGCGGUAAAAUGUCCGGGCUCAACCCGGGCCGGCCGUUGAAACUGGGGAUCUUGAGUGGGCGAGAAGUAUGCGGAAUGCGUGGUGUAGCGGUGAAAUGCAUAGAUAUCACGCAGAACUCCGAUUGCGAAGGCAGCAUACCGGCGCCCGACUGACGCUGAGGCACGAAAGCGUGGGGAUCGAACAGGAUUAGAUACCCGAGUA